RNAcentral lists this ribosomal RNA (427 nucleotides) under uncultured Cellvibrio sp. Its description in RNAcentral is "bacterial SSU rRNA". It matches the Rfam family "Bacterial small subunit ribosomal RNA", at positions 355 to 774 of the family's 1533-position model. Lineage: Bacteria; Pseudomonadati; Pseudomonadota; Gammaproteobacteria; Cellvibrionales; Cellvibrionaceae. The record is from RNAcentral.
UGGGGAAUAUUGGACAAUGGGGGCAACCCUGAUCCAGCCAUGCCGCGUGUGUGAAGAAGGCCUUAGGGUUGUAAAGCACUUUCAGUGGGGAGAAAGGUAAUUCACCUAAUACGUGAGUUGAUUGAUGUUACCCACAGAAGAAGCACCGGCUAACUCCGUGCCAGCAGCCGCGGUAAUACGGAGGGUGCAAGCGUUAAUCGGAAUUACUGGGCGUAAAGCGCACGUAGGUGGUUUUCUAAGUCAGCUGUGAAAUCCCCGGGCUCAACCUGGGACUUGCAGUUGAAACUGGAAAGCUAGAGUAGGGUAGAGGGGUGUGGAAUUCCAGGUGUAGCGGUGAAAUGCGUAGAUAUCUGGAGGAACAUCAGUGGCGAAGGCGACACCCUGGACUCAUACUGACACUGAGGUGCGAAAGCGUGGGGAGCAAACA